CGCCUGUAGCCGGGCUUGACAUCAGGCAAAAUGUUUUUUUUUUUUUUUUAAAUCAACCAUUAUAACGACGUAGAAAGUGCAAACAUCUACAGGAAACCGGAAAGGGUCACCAAAGACGCCCCGCUGACAAAAACCCGUCUGAAAACCACCUAAACGGAGCUAAAUGUAGCGCACCGUGUGCCAACUUUGUUUCGAAUAUCCAAACCCCGGCAGUCCCCGUAUCCCUCUAGCGGCGCGGACUGCACCGAUACCCGGCAUGCAUCGUUAGGAGACACCGCAGAGCAACCAUGUUUCUCAGUACCGGCCAUGGCAGUCAAAAACACCCCCCGAAAACAGCACUGAACGACGCAGUCAGUCUUCACGGCAGAGAGAUGAUGAAGGUGGUCAGGUGGAAGCUGGGCUGUCAAACACGGAAACAUUUUAGCAGGCCGCAUCUGUCAUGGUUGUGUCAGAGCACUCAACGCCCAGCAGGCGAGAGGGAAAAAAGGAGAUUUGUCUUUGAUUUCCACCCACAGAGAGUCAGAUCCACAAACACAAUCACAACAAUCAAUUUGCAGAAUCAACAAGUAACAGAAGAGAUGACUAUGUGCCAUGGAAGGUGCUGAGGUGUAGACGGUGCAUGUGAUCUGCUGGGCGGAGCUAUGGCUGACUCGACUUACCUUAUCCAAUCCUCUGUCUACGUGCGGAUACUUAAGCACCUCUCCCUUUGACUUCAGUGCCAGUUCUUCAUGUACCUCGAGUCGUAAGCAACUAGCUGUGAACCUUGCCUUAUUCUUAGUGCCUUGUGACUUACCUUGUUUCUCCUUGUUAGGCCUCCAGCCACAGCGCCCAGCUGAUCCUCGCCUUGGACCUGGACCUUUUGUUUUUUCGCCUUCGUGGUAGUUUUGUUUUUGGGCUCAACAUUUUCGCCCUUGUGGUAGUUUUGUUUUGCACUUUGCCUUUUUCGCCCUUGUGUCUGUUAGCUUUAUUAAAAACUGUUAACCGCACACUACACAUAUACCAUAUAACUAAGAACUUAAGAUAAAUAUAAAGUGUAAAAAAUGUACCUACAAUGAGGCACACACAAAAAUAAAUAGCUGCGUGAGAGGAGAGCUUAUACCUAAUACCUAAUGAUAAAAUAUCACAUCCAAUAUCAGAUCCAAGAUACUGCAAUCACUAGUUUGUGGGUUUAAAUGACACUUGCUUGUACCAAAUGUGAAGAAGUUUCCAUAAAACACAUGAUAUAUCAGUCAAAAGAGUGGGAGGUGUGGAAACUUUAACUUUAAGCCACAGCUGUUCUGUUGGUGCAUAAGGUUAAGAGGUCAGCAACAGAAGUGUUGUUUCUACCUUGUAAUGCUGCACCAAUUGUGCAGAAAACUGGUGCUUUAAAAAUGCUUGGAUCUCUAAACUCUAUGUCUUUAGCUACAUUUAAAAGAAUUUCCAAAACUUAUGUUCCUUUACCUCCCUUUUUUCCCAUGUUGUUAUUGCAUUCACCUAACACCCAACACCUGCAGUGCUGUAAUAAAAUAUAUACUGCCGGCCCCACAAUGUUCGCUGGUUUAACAAGCAGACAUGCAUGCUGACAGUAAAGCUGUAGAGGAGCAGUCAACAAAUGAGAACUGGCCCCUGGCUCCUGUUACUGAAGCCAUGCACUGGUUUAUUUGCAGGUAUUUGGACGCGGGUAAAUAAGUACUUGAUUACAUUUUUAACAAAUAUGUCCAGUAUUGGUCAACAGAAUAGCACCUGUGUGUGUGUGAUUGAUGGCAACAACAGUUCAAUUACUACUCAGCGCUGAUAUUCCCUUAAAGAGUUUGUUGCUCUCACCUUCUGGCUCAUUUCCACCACCUGAGCGUGUAUCAUGUUUUACAAAAAUGUCACAGAGUCAGAGCCCCAGCGGAGCCACUUCAGCGGCUUAAUGCAACUCACUUCGACACAAACCACACACAGUCUCUUACCCUCUGUUUGCUCUUUUUCUCUUCUUCUCCGACUCCGUCUCCUUCGCACAGUGACUCAUCCUUCCACAGACACAUUUUUACACACCUCAGGCAGCCACAGUUAACAGUGGAGGUGUCAGAUUCUGCUUUAUUUUUUCCACUCAAAUUGCAUCGUUUUCAAACGUGUGAGUUGGUCACGGUGUAAGUUCCCACUAUUGUGAAGCCAUGAAGAAAUGAGAAUAAACAUGAUAUGUAUAUUCUGUAUGUGCAUUGUCAGUUAAAGAUGAAAAUAAGGAUAUACAACAGACUUGAAUAUGAAGGCGGUCUUAUUUAUUCAUAGAUCUUAUAGAUCAUAUCUUAUUUAUUUAGUUUCAGAUUCUAACAUUGGUUCAAAGGCCUUUCAUCGAAGCAAUUCUUUAGAAGUGUUGCGCUCAGCUUCUUGAACAGUCCCAUCUCUGGCAGUCAAGACAGUAACUCAGGCAGUUUGCUCAUUAGCGUCUUUAUCAAAGAGAAAAACCCAAAGCGCUGAUGACAUUAGAUACACAAAUGUUUGAAAGAAUGUGUUUCACUGACCAGAAAAAAAAAAUGCAAAUGCAUUCACGGUGUCAGAGACAACAGAAGGAUUAAGGGAUGCUAAAAACAAAGACGUUUUCAUUAAGGAGUUUUGCUGAUUGGGGGAGUUUGCAGUGGCUCUGGGGGAUUACCUGUGUCACACAGGAGGGGCAGCAGGAUGCACGGCCUUUGUAAGGUUGGACUAAGCAUUGUUAAAAUAAGGAUAAGUGUCUGCAAUAUUCUCCUAAUAAAUCUUAGGAUACUUAGGACAUUUUGUAUUGCCCCACAUCAGAUGUUUCUUGUGUUUCAGACCAAAGCUUUGUCACUUUACUUUUCCUUUAAAUUGUUGUUUGAUCCCUUUUACCUUGAGCCUACACAGGGGUG
Long non-coding RNA from Parambassis ranga (Indian glassy fish), 2849 nucleotides. The record is from Ensembl. Lineage: Eukaryota; Metazoa; Chordata; Actinopteri; Ambassidae.